CCAACUGACAGCUCUGCGAGCAUGGCCUCAUACUAUUUAGUUAUGCACGGUCUCCGUCUUCGUCAAGGAGGCUGCUGCAUGGAGGAGGAGCAGACGAAGGCCAACCCAGCUGAAGGUGUUCCCGGGAAGGAGGUGCCCCCACAGACAUGAAGAGCCCACACCUUUCCUUCCGCUUCAGCGGCAGCAGCAGAGACCUGCAUCUUGCAGACAAGAAACUGUGGUGGUGAUUUCUUCAUUUGUAUGCUUCUCAUGAUUUGUCAAUCAAUCUUGCUGCAGCGAUGGGUUUGGACUGUGGGUGUUUCCCACAUUAGUGGGGGUUGGUGUUAUCCUCGAGACAACGAAGGGGGAUGGGAGAUGGGUUUCUUCUGUCUUGAGAAACGAGGACAUGGACAUGUACAAGACACCGCACGCCAAACCUCUCUCCUUCGACGACCAAUAAGUGAUGCGUGUCGUGAAAGGCGUAUUUUUCUGUAGAACCUUUUAGCUGCUGCAGUAUGAUUUGAUCGAUCAUGAUAAUGAUAGCAGCAGGCAUUGCUGCUAUCAGCCUAUUGCUAAUGAUUAAGUUAUAUUAAGUAGAUAAAAUCGAUCGAGUUAUAUACAUAUACACAUACGAUCGAUUAGUGUAUAUGUUGUUUGAAUACACCUCUUCUUCAUCCUUGUUAGCUACUGGCUUACGUCAUAGAGAUCGAUCUAAAUAUUUAUGUCGAUUAUAUUACAGAGUACGCAUUCGAAUCCAUCUCAAUAUGCUUUCUUGUUUCAUUUUCUAUCAUAUCACACUUCUUGCGUACACCGGCAUCGCCGACGUCUGCACCCUCCCUCCCUCCUUUGUUUUCUGUUGAAAGACAUCAUUUUCUUGACCGCUACCUCAGCAAUGGCCUCAUCGCCACGUCUUCAGUUGCACGUCGACGGCGAUCGAUGAACAGACCAAAAGCGUGUGGAAGAGUCGGUAGCUCAUUAAAUGCAGCGGCCGAUUGGAAUCGUGGCGAGAAUCCACGUGAACUGAUGGGAAGGAGUGAAAGCCGCCGUCAUCUUCUCAUGCACAUCCCACCGCCACCGACGGAUGAUAAAGGCAGGUUGCUGCCGAAUGCGAGCGAGCAGCCGAGUGUCGCGGGGGUGCACAUUUACUGCUGCCGAAGAAGAUUACGGAUGCGAGAGGUCAUCCGUCUUAGCCUUUUGUCGAAGCUGUGCAGCAUUCUUAUGUUAUGGUUCGAGCAUCUUUGAAUAGUAAGUGUACUUCAUGCUUUGCGACGACGUCCGAAUUGGGCUGUGUCGUUUAAUUCGAGCAUCAGAGUAUGGCAAAACAGAUGCUCUUUGAACACAUUUUAUUAUAUGGGGUCAUGAAAGCCUUUUGACUUUGGC
This is a long non-coding RNA of Musa acuminata AAA Group (dessert banana), 1359 nucleotides long. RefSeq lists it as uncharacterized. The transcript has 2 exons. Lineage: Eukaryota; Viridiplantae; Streptophyta; Magnoliopsida; Zingiberales; Musaceae. The record is from RefSeq and is a predicted model, not a curated record.